Molecule: ribosomal RNA, 376 nt
Filed under: uncultured bacterium
Lineage: Bacteria
Description: bacterial SSU rRNA
Rfam family: Bacterial small subunit ribosomal RNA
Source: RNAcentral
GUAGUCCACGCCCUAAACGAUGUCAACUGGUUGUCGGGGAAGUUAUUCCUUGGUAACGAAGCUAACGCGUGAAGUUGACCGCCUGGGGAGUACGGCCGCAAGGUUAAAACUCAAAGGAAUUGACGGGGACCCGCACAAGCGGUGGAUUAUGUGGAUUAAUUCGAUGCAACGCGAAAAACCUUACCUACCCUUGACUUGUACGGAACCCCGCAGAGAUGCGGGGGUGCCCGAAAGGGAGCCGUAACACAGGUGCUGCAUGGCUGUCGUCAGCUCGUGUCGUGAGAUGUUGGGUUAAGUCCCGCAACGAGCGCAACCCUUGUCAUUAGUUGCCACAUUAAGUUGGGCACUCUAGUGAGACUGCCGGUGACAAACCGGA